Non-coding RNA from Chrysemys picta bellii (western painted turtle), 5843 nucleotides. NCBI's taxonomy places the organism in Eukaryota, Metazoa, Chordata, Testudines, Emydidae. The record is from RefSeq and is a predicted model, not a curated record.
GAUUUAUUUUAUUCAUUCUGGGGGCUUUCACAGCUUUAUGGCUGUUGGAUAUUUAUGUCCCCAAACUUGCAGCAAGUUUGGUGAAGGCCCCUAAAUUUAAUUUAAUUUAGGAUUUUUAUAAUCUUUUGGUAGAUGGGCUCUAUAUUAAUAUUCAUACUUAUUGGCUGUGGUGUUUUUGAAGAGGUUGGUGGGAAGGGAUAUUUCAGAUGGAUGUUGAUGCAACUUUUUUUCCCUUUAUCCUUCAGCCAUUUCCCUUUUUUUCCAAAUUCUGUGCACUAUUUUUUUGAAGGUAAUAUUUAAUAAUGGAACUACAUGUAGCUUAUAUGAACAGAUCUGUUGGGUGAUGCUGUUGCCUUUUCUGGGGAAAUGUAUUGAAAUGCAACUUACUUGAAAUCCAGAAACUUCAUCAUAACACUUUAAAUCCAUUUAGUUAUUAGGCCCACAGUAUUAAUUAUAAGAAUAUUAGUUAGAACUGGAGGCAUAAAAGGACGGAUAUAGUGAUAUACUUAACAUUUUUGUUUUCACAUGUUAUACCAUGACAGUUACACCAGAAGAGUAAAUAUUAAUGUAGAGCCCUGCAAAGAAGAGAUACAGAUUUGAGUUGGUAAAUAGAAAAAAGGAAUGAGAAAGUUGUAGAUUUUGCAAAAAUGUCAGUUUGAAAGAUUUCCUUUUCAUCAGCCUCUUUUUUUAAAAAGGCAUAAUAUUGUAAAGUUUGGUGUAUUGCACCAUGUAUUCUAAAAUCACAGCAUUCAUUGUGAAUUUUGAGGGAUUUUGCAAUGUAAUUUAACAUGUUUAUUAACUACCAUUACCAUAUCAACAAUAUUGAAGAUAAAACUGUACUCUUAUUUAGAAAAUGAGAACUUUACUAUCUUUAAAUAAUUUUAAAAUUACUGUUUGAGCAGACUGCCCCUUUGCCUUUUUCUUGCAAAAGCAUGAGAUACCUGGACAAUUUCAGCCUGAGAAUAGGUUUUGUCCCUGAGUAAUCUGACUGCCUCUUGGCAGCAUUUGACUCUUACAAUUUCCAAAUUAAAAAAAAUGUUUGCUAGCUUGUUUGAAAUUGCUGCAGCAGAUGAGUUUUUAAAGACAGUUUUUGAUGCACCAUAGAAACUGUUUAAUUUCUUAAAUGUUUCCUUAAGUAAUGGUUAACUUGUAUAGCUUUCACAAGUCUGGUUGUGGCUCACAUUGUCUUUAAUACAAUUGACUGUCACCUACAAGAAUGGAACUUAUUCCUUCUGCCUUGUUGCCUUCCCCCUUUGGAACUCCUACCCAACUGCCCCACACUCACGUUCUGAACCCCUUCUGGGUUUCUGAUCCUUCCUGGUGAGCUCCAGAAACCAGUUAUAAUCCUCACUAAUGCCCAAAUUUGUGAGACAUACGCACUGAAUGUUAACUGUAUUCAAGUAAUUGUUGAGCAGUGUGUGUUAUAUUCCUAAUUCUGUCAGUUUGAUGUUACCCUUUAUAACACAAAAGACAAUACUACAGUAACUAGCAUUUUUCUACUAAAUUUAUUCAAGUUGUAAGAGCACUUGUCACUUCACUGUCUUGUCUCCUCAUUUGCAUAACCUGGUCAGGCAAGAGUUUUCUUGCAGAAGAGAAUUGCAUAAGUAGUAUGUUGUAUGUGUUGCUACAGAUAUCUGAAUCAUUCUAUUAAGACUCAAUGAAUGAAAAAUAAUCAGAGAUAUUUAGUGUUUAAUAUUCAUUAUUGAUUCACUCUGCCUUUUCACCAUUUAAUAGACUGACACUAAAUAGUUUCCAUCCAAAUAUUUGUAUUUGGUCUGGUAAGUCUUCAGGUGUAUUUUGUAGUAGAAAUGUUCAAAUGUAGAUUAAUGUAUACCCUCUGCCUUGUCCAUAGUGUACAUUUCUACAAAGAUGAGUAUCCUUCUUUGAUCCACACUUGGGUUAUAUCCAAUAAAUGUAUAUUCCUUGUGGCAGUUAAAUGUUCAGUGUCCUACUCAAACCAUCAAUUUGUUUUCACCUUUGCAUUGUUUGAAGAUACUAGCUUAAGAUGGUCAUGAGAAAUCACUUACUUGCACUUCCUAUUUCUGUUGUACUGAUGAUCUUAAUGUAAGUUAAAUGUUGCUUCAACAUGCCAAAAAAAAACCAUGAUUCUCUGUAUUUCUUGUAUCUAUCUUGUGAAUGAGACUAAGUACUGUAGUUCGUACCUCCCCUAUCACUCUAGGGAUAUUUUCUUUUCUGCGCUAGUUAUUCUCAUGUAAAUUUGAGAACAUACUUCUUGGAAUCCUAGUAGAAACCUUCAUCUGGAGGAAGACUAAUCAUUUUGCUAUCCACUUCCGAAAGAUGCAAUCAAUGGCACUCCAGAAUAAUUCUGUAGGAUGUUGUGUGGAUUUGAGCUUCCUUUGCUAUAAUUUUCAAUUCAAUGCAUUUCAAAUGGUAUCGGAAAUCUCUAGUUGGUCUUCAAACACAAGCUUCGCUUCUCCCUUUCUCCAUGUUCCUGCCUCCCUCCAAGGGAGUUUUAUGAUUUUCAAAAGUUGCUCAUUUUGAGAUUGCAAUAAAAAAAUUGAAGUUCUUGGGUCUGUGACUUCAGCAGGCACAGCAAUAUUAUCCUAAUCCGGUGCCACAAUUGAUGUCCAUGUAUUAAUUUGAAAGCAACAAGAGAGCAGUUUGCAUGUGCUUUAAAUAUUCAGUGGUGAUAUGUGACCUAUAAAAGGUAGAGAGGCUUUGCUUUCCUUCUAACCACAACAAUAGCACACUGCUUUAUAUUAUUUAAUAGGAGUUUUUCCUCAACUCCUGGAUCAACUGUUUCAAAAAGAUCUUUAAACACAAAUCUAGUUUAAAAAAAAAAAAUCUUGCUCCUACUGUGAAACUUGUCUGACACCUUUGAGUGUGGAUCUAAGGAGGAUAUUGCCAGAAAAACUUCAAUUGUAAACAAGACAUUCCCUAAUUCAAAGUCAUGCAUGCUUACUAAUACCCUGUGUGUCACGAAGUUGCUCCAUUUCUGGCUUCCAUGUCUUUUCCCAAAGGCUCUUAAGAAUCACUUUAAAAUAUUAUUCUUAUUUUCCUACAUUCUAAUGGAAGCACUCAGUAUAAUUCCAUUUAAAGCUACAAGGACCUAUAUUUUUUUUUCAUGCACAAGAAAUGCUAUAAUGUUAAACUGCUAAAUCAGGUGAACUUUUGCAUAUCUCUCGUUACAUGCAAGGUAAAUAAUAGGAGUGGCAAAUAAAGUACAUGCCACGCAUUAAGUUCUUGGAUGCUUUGGAAUGCUGUGAUGGUUGCCUUAUACAGAACACUUUGUAUAUUAGUAUUAAAUGCUGUCCCUUAAGUGCUGUGGAAAAUACUUACCAGUGUGCCUAUUUUCAAAAUUAUUUCACGAAAGCAGGGUUUCUCAAACUCCAUUGCAUCAUGAUUCCCUUCUGACAACAAAUUACUACACGACCCCGGGCAUGGGGACUGAAGUCUGAGCCAAACCCAACGUUUGAGCCCUGCUGUCCAGGGGUGGGGCGGGCGGAGGAGGAGGAGGCAAAGCCGAAAGUUGAGGGCUUCAGCCCUGGUGAUGGGGCUCUGACUUUGGCUUCAGUCCUGGGCCCCAGCAAGUCUAAUGCCAGCUCUGGCGACCCCCCAUAAAAACAGGGUCAUGACCCACUUUGGGGUCCCGACCCACAGUUUGAGAAUCACUGCAUUAAAAUCACUAAGAUUUCCUAUAGCCCUGUGGUUCUCAACCUAUUUACCAUUGUGGGCUGCAUCCAAUAUUACCUGUAUGGCCCUGAGGGUGUCACAUGGGCUGCAGCUCUGUGCUGAUUGGGCCACAGGUUAAGAACCACUCCGAUAGCCAGUCUGGAGAAAAGCAGUUAGUGGGUUUAGUGGCCUCUUUCUGCCACAAAUGUAGUGAUGGUCCAUUUUCGUAUUUGCCUUAAAAACUUGUCCAGAUAUUAGUUUGGGAGUGGGAAAAGAACUGAGGAUAGUUGCUUUGGAAAUAGACCUUGCUGAGUUUUUGUGAUUGUGCAAAACACAUUUAAUCAUCUGACUGUUGUGAUUCAGUAAAAUACAUUGCUGAGAUGGCAGCUCUCUGCAAAUCUCCACCCUAUCAGAAUAGGAAGUAGAUAAUAAUCACAGCUAGAAUGAAUAUUGGUAUCAUGUUUCUGCUAGUGUAUCUGCAGUUUUAAUGCAACAUCAUUGCUGGCCAAGUGACAUAGGUAUACUGAAGACCUCUAUGCAAGAGAGACAGACUUUUAAUCCACAAUUUCUUGAUCCCUUGGCCAACACAGACUUGAAAUACAACAGACUCCUCUGGGUGGUUACAAUUUGUAUGCCUCACUUCUCAACCCAACCUUUUUCUUAUGAGGCAUGGAAGGAUCCACAGUCAGGAGUCCUGACCAGUCCUUGACUGGGCAGAUGGUGCCCACGUAAAGCCCGAGAGUAAAGGAGGAAAAGGUGAACUACCAGCUGGAUUUCCACUGCAAGAUCCACAUUUCAUGCAGGUCAUCAGACAGUGUAGUGGUGUUAAGAUCCAGGCUUUUUAUUCAGUCAAGUACUUAAUUCAAAUUAUAUCUAGUAGGAUGGUAUAUCUUGAAUGCUGGGAUACUCCACACUUCCCUGCAAUUCUAUGCACCAGAUCUUUUGAUUUCACCAACCAUCCGUGUCCCUAGCAGAAAACUCUAGUUUUAAUAGUACCAUUUUUAAAUGGUGCUGAACUCAUCUUAAAACACUGGUAAUGAACUCAUCUCAAGGUUUGUCUUGACUAAGAGUUAAAAGGUAAGACCAACAGCUGGUGAUGGUGUAGCGGUAUCUUGUAUAAGAUCAUGUUUGAUGUAAUAGACGGAUCAUUUUGGGCUUCCUAGAAUAGUGGGUUAAGAAAUCUGAUUUUUGAGGCCAUGGGAUUCUUUUUUCCCUCUCCCCACCUUUACAGGGGGUGUAGAAAGAAGACACAUUGUGGCGGGGGAGUUGCUAGGUCAGGUGAGGUACGUCAGUUUCAGGUAUGUGUUGCCUCAGGGUUUCCUUUUUGUUUUUGCUAAAUCAAUAUAAAUUUUAAUCACAUUUCAAGAGUAAUUCUUUUUAAAUUGAAUUACACUUCUGCUGUUCCUACUAAAACUGUGUUAACUAGUCCCAACUUUAACCUUUUGGUUUUGAAUGUGGGAAUUUUCAUCAUACCUAAGAACAGCCCACAUAUACUCAAAUCCAUUUCUCUAUUCCCUUAUUUAUGAAUCACACAUCAAGACAAAGUAAAACUAAUUUCAUAAACAACUUCAACUCUAUUGCCUCAGUGAAGCAGAUGAAAUUUUAGAAAAUAAUAAGUGUGCCCGAUCUAUUUUCACUGAGUGCUCUUUAACAGAGUUACUCUUGCAACUACAACUUGUAAUCCCUUGACAUUUAGGUUUGUCCAAGACGUGUUUAUCAUAUUACACUUGUCUGAUCCAUGAGUCAGAAAAGUUUGAAUCAAAUUUAAGGGCAAAUUAAACAUAAUUUUAUAGCUGCCUUUAGUCUGUUCCUUAAAAAUAAAUAAAUAAAUAAAUUUAAAAAAAUGUACCAAUUGAGGUUUGACUUUUUUUUUUAAUGAGAACUAAAUUAUGGAUAAACUCCUUGAUUUAAUACAACUUGUGUUUUUGUUAACUAGCAGCAGAAUUUCAGCAUUUGCUACUUACUGGUAGAGAAGAAAAAUCCCACAGCAUUGCCAGUACAGGUUAGUUUAAUCUCAUUCAGUUGACAGAGAAGUGUUGAAGACCAUAUGGAACCAAGAACAAUGAAUCAAACUUGCAUUCCUUGUGUGUUCUUAUUGGGCUCAUUUUUCUUCAGGAAUGGGAAAUUGGAUAAUAUAUAUACUUCCAUAAUAUGUAUCUAUUUAAUUCUGACUUUCUCCAAUGAUUAAACUUAAUAAUUUAAUAAAUGAA